ACAGUGUGGUAGCAGGUAUCCUGAAGGUGCUGCCUCUGACACCUCCUGGAAAUUCUGUGUGCACGACUACAAGCAUUAUUUGAUUGCUUGGCUGAGUUCAGGAGAGGGACUCUGCAGCAGCCAGAGUGAAGAACAAAGUGUUGAGAGAUACUGGGAGGACACAGGAAUGCAGAGGACAGGGAUGCUUUUCUAAUUUGUGCAUCAGGGGAUUGGGGGGACUCACCACAGGAGACAGAAGUUGGGUCCUUGAAUCCUUGGGUCAGAAAGCAAAACUUACUCGUAUCUUCUGCUCCACCCAACUAAGCCUGGCCCUGGCUGGGUCACACCCUCACUGAAAAGUAUGUAAGAGAAAAAUCUACUUGCUAGCUCAGGGGGCUGGAAUGAAUUUCAGGCUGUGUCUACGUGGAUGUCAGUGAGGUUUGAGUAAAAUACAGGCUGCGGGAACUUCCCUGAAUGUUUGUAACCAUGGACCUAACUCAUAAAGGAUCAGGGUUGGAACUGAGAUUGUCAAAGCUGUGAACCCCAGUGCACCUGGUGGAAAUACACGCAAACCACUCCUGAAAAAUGAACUCUCCAGCAUCCCCACGCCCCAAAUUCAUGUGGAGCAAUAUGCUUAAAAUGCUUAAAGACAUUUCAAAAAGGAAAUAUAGUUAUCAGAAAAGACAGAGGAUGCUUCAAAAAUACAAGAUAGAUUUUAGAAAAAAAUAAAUGGAACAUGUUAAAAAUGUGAUCAUUGAAACUGGGAUAAUUCAAAUGAGGAACAGCACAUAUGAUGCCCAUGAAAAAAAGAAUUAAUGGGUAGUAGAAUAGAUUAGAAUCAUUUAUCCCACAUCGAACAAAAAGAGAUACAGAGAUUUUAUCUCUCUUUACCUGUUAGAAACCUCAUAGGUUACCUGUUAGAAACCUACCUCUAAUUAGAGGACCAAAGAAAGAAAACAGACAAAAGUGGAAGAGAGGCAAUAUUCAUAGAAAUAAUGAAUAUUUUUCCCACAACUUAUGAAAGAAUGGAGUCUGGAGAAUCAGGAAUUUCAGUAAGUCCUAAGAAAAAUAAGUCCUAUUGAGUACAUACCUAAACUCAUUGCAGUGAAACUGCAUGCUACCCAAUACAAGACAUGAUUAAACACACACACAGACACGCGCGCGCAUGCGCGCGCUGAGAAGAAACAGACUCCCAAUAAAGAAAAACAAAUUAGUCUGAUAGUAGACCUCUCAACAGUCAUCAGGGAGGCUGGGGUUUACCUUGACUGCCUAAAUUAAAGUCCAUUCCCAAGGACAUCUCAAAUGGCCAAGUAACCAGUCCCUGCUUGUUUACAGAGUGUGAAAGUUGUUUAGAUUUGCAAUGAACCACCUCUCUACCUCCACCUCCCUGAGCUCUGAGGCAAAUGGAUUUCCCUAUUAUAAACUAGGAAUGAGUGUCUGAAAGAAGCCUUUUCUGAUUCCCUGCAAAAGUUCAUUCAUCAGGAGGAAGGGGAGUCAUCCCAGCCUUCACCACCUGUGGAACGCAGCAACCUCACUGUGGGAGACACCAGUAGAGCCUGGACGCAGCUGACCUUAAUGUUUAUUCAAUCAAUGCUGGGAAGGAAACUAACAUUCAAAGGUGCUUUGCUCUGCUUGCCUCCAGGACUGGGGCAGGAGAAUGCCUUGUAGAGUGUGCUUUGUGCUAUUAUGGUCAAACUGGCAUAGUCAGCCAAAAGAGAGGCGCCCACAUAGAUCCCCCAGAAGAAGUCACUGAUGUGGAGGUGGCAAAGUGUAAGAAAGACAGAACCAAUCUGG
Macaca mulatta (Rhesus monkey) is the source of this 1773-nucleotide long non-coding RNA. The record is from Ensembl. Lineage: Eukaryota; Metazoa; Chordata; Mammalia; Primates; Cercopithecidae.